UACGUAGGGUGCAAGCGUUGUCCGGAAUUAUUGGGCGUAAAGAGCUCGUAGGCGGUUUGUCGCGUCGAAUGUGAAAACCCGGGGCUCAACCCCGGGCCUGCAUUCGAUACGGGCAGACUAGAGUUCGGUAGGGGAGUCUGGAAUUCCUGGUGUAGCGGUGAAAUGCGCAGAUAUCAGGAGGAACACCGGUGGCGAAGGCGGUUCUCUGGGCAUGAUCUGACGCUGAGGAGCGAAAGUGUGGGGAGCGAACAGG
RNAcentral lists this ribosomal RNA (253 nucleotides) under uncultured bacterium. Its description in RNAcentral is "partial 16S ribosomal RNA". It matches the Rfam family "Bacterial small subunit ribosomal RNA", at positions 524 to 776 of the family's 1533-position model. The record is from RNAcentral.